AUGUUUAACCUGGUUGGCCCCCUCCUCUGCCACUCAUCACCUAGGUCAAAUUGCAAGAUUCUUAUGUUUUGUGUUUGCACCAUAAGGCGGUUGUCUUGGUCACGGGUUGUAUUAGAAAGAGAUUCUGUUUUUCCAGCCUUCUCAAGCUUCCUUCAGUGCUGUUGGGAAAGUAUUCUGCAUUCAGUAGCAUUGUUGGCCAUCCCCUGUAAUGAAUUUCUGAAGAGCCCUGAAAACCUGAAGAAUUGAGCCCUGAUUAGUAUUUUGAGCUGGCGAUUUACUGGUUCAUCAAUGAAACAAUAUUAUAUUAUGAAGAUGUAAGAAAAAUUCCUGUGCUCACCUUGUUGAAGUUUGAAAGGUAAGCUGCUCCCCACUAGAUUAAGCUUUAUCAGUCUAUUAAGAGGCCAAUAUAUCAUUGUGCCAUAUGACAGAUACAAUAUUUAUCAGAUUAUCAUUGAAAUGGUAUCUAUGAUAAUCACUGAAAACUUAGUUGUCAUCUGUUCAACGUCCUAUAAUGUAAUAGAAGCCACUUACUCAGGAAUAAAACUCUCUGAGAUAUAGAACUAAUUUCA
Molecule: long non-coding RNA, 569 nt
Filed under: Monodelphis domestica (gray short-tailed opossum)
Lineage: Eukaryota; Metazoa; Chordata; Mammalia; Didelphimorphia; Didelphidae
Description: lncRNA (ENSMODG00000039327.1)
Source: RNAcentral